GCGCCCGUAGUCCAGUGGAUAAGACGUCAGCCUCCGAAGCUGAAAAUCGCUGGUUCGAUUCCAGCCGGGCGCACCA
RNAcentral lists this transfer RNA (76 nucleotides) under Desulfotignum balticum. RNAcentral's name for it is "tRNA-Arg". It matches the Rfam family "tRNA". From Rfam's summary of the family: Transfer RNA (tRNA) molecules are approximately 80 nucleotides in length. Their secondary structure includes four short double-helical elements and three loops (D, anti-codon, and T loops). Further hydrogen bonds mediate the characteristic L-shaped molecular structure. tRNAs have two regions of fundamental functional importance: the anti-codon, which is responsible for specific mRNA codon recognition, and the 3' end, to which the tRNAs corresponding amino acid is attached (by aminoacyl-tRNA synthetases). tRNAs cope with the degeneracy of the genetic code in two manners: having more than one tRNA (with a specific anti-codon) for a particular amino acid; and 'wobble' base-pairing, i.e. permitting non-standard base-pairing at the 3rd anti-codon position. RNAcentral also lists the same sequence under 4 other names. The record is from RNAcentral. Lineage: Bacteria; Pseudomonadati; Thermodesulfobacteriota; Desulfobacteria; Desulfobacterales; Desulfobacteraceae.